This 425-nucleotide ribosomal RNA is filed under the name uncultured bacterium. Its description in RNAcentral is "partial 16S ribosomal RNA". It matches the Rfam family "Bacterial small subunit ribosomal RNA", at positions 354 to 796 of the family's 1533-position model. The record is from RNAcentral.
GUGGGGAAUCUUGCGCAAUGGGCGAAAGCCUGACGCAGCCAUGCCGCGUGAAUGAUGAAGGUCUUAGGAUUGUAAAAUUCUUUCACCGGGGACGAUAAUGACGGUACCCGGAGAAGAAGCCCCGGUUAACUUCGUGCCAGCAGCCGCGGUAAUACGAAGGGGGCUAGCGUUGCUCGGAAUUACUGGGCGUAAAGGGCGCGUAGGCGGACAGUUUAGUCAGAGGUGAAAGCCCAGGGCUCAACCUUGGAAUUGCCUUUGAUACUGGCUGUCUUGAGUACGGGAGAGGUGAGUGGAACUCCGAGUGUAGAGGUGAAAUUCGUAGAUAUUCGGAAGAACACCAGUGGCGAAGGCGACUCACUGGCCCGUUACUGACGCUGAGGCGCGAAAGCGUGGGGAGCAAACAGGAUUAGAAACCCCGGUAGUAC